UGGCACAGUUGGUAGAGCAUGGUGUUUGCAACGCCAGGGUUGUGGGUUCGAUUCCCAC
Molecule: non-coding RNA, 58 nt
Organism: Salmo salar (Atlantic salmon)
Lineage: Eukaryota; Metazoa; Chordata; Actinopteri; Salmoniformes; Salmonidae
Source: Rfam